UACGGGGGGGGCAAGCGUUGUUCGGAAUUACUGGGCGUAAAGGGCUCGUAGGUGGCCAAUUAAGUCAGACGUGAAAUCCCCAGGCUUAACCUGGGAACUGCGUCUGAUACUGACUGGCUUGAAUUCGGGAGAGGGAUGCAGAAUUCCAGGUGUAGCGGUGAAAUGCGUAGAUAUCUGGAGGAACACCGGUGGCGAAGGCGGCAUCCUGGACCGGCAUUGACGCUGAGGCGCGAAAGCCAGGGGAGCAAACGGG
This 253-nucleotide ribosomal RNA is filed under the name uncultured bacterium. RNAcentral's name for it is "partial 16S ribosomal RNA". It matches the Rfam family "Bacterial small subunit ribosomal RNA", at positions 524 to 776 of the family's 1533-position model. The record is from RNAcentral.